RNAcentral lists this long non-coding RNA (458 nucleotides) under Prunus persica (peach). Its description in RNAcentral is "long non-coding RNA (PPER_LNC001422)". The record is from RNAcentral. Lineage: Eukaryota; Viridiplantae; Streptophyta; Magnoliopsida; Rosales; Rosaceae.
AUCCAUGUGUUCCUAGUCUUCUUCGUUCAACAAUAAGUUAAAAAGGUCAAAGGGGCAUACAGUAAGACACCGUAACACGGUAUCAACCGGACUGCAAUUUUAGGUCUGAGAGUUUUUGGUUUUGUUUUGUCAAUUUUCAGAACAAAAAAAGAAAGAAAAAGAAAGUCGAGGAUUGGUUUGGUUGACGAAGUCCUCUCCCCAACCAGCCCAAGAACGCCUAGCUUUGCAGUACGCAUACGCUUACGGCGUAUCCUAGAUUUCGUCAACUCCAAACUUUCGCCCUCCUUCCUUAAAAAGCAUUUAAUUUAAUUUUAAAAACAACACCAACACCAACUAAUGAGGAUAAUUUUUAAUUUUAAAAACAACACCAACACCAACUAAUGAGGAUAAUUAAUAACUAAUCCCAUACUUACCUUAACAAUUAAAAAUAAAAAAAAUAAGCAGCAGAAGGUCAUCUC